AUGGGAUGGGAUGGGAUGGGAUGGGGAUGGUUCUCAGCCUCCUGACCUCAGCUCUGCUUUCUCUUUCCCCACAGCUGACGGCGUGACCCCAGGUGCCACCCAAGGACUGGGACGUCCCCAACCCAACUGCGGUCUGCGGUCCCCAGAGCAAACCGUGGCAUGAGGAAGGUCUGAGCCGGACCCCCACCCUCCGCCACCUCCCGGGGACAAAGCAAUGGACACUGCGGCCGUGCGGAGCCAGGAUGCCCCGCUGACGGUCAAUGAGCAGGUCAUCGUCAUGUCCGGCCAUGAAACCAUCCGUGUGCUGGAGGUCGGUGUGGACGCAGCACCUCAAGGCGAGGAGGAGCGCAGAGCAGCGGCGGUGCCAGCAGGAGGCAGCGACCUGCAGGAAUCCCCGGCACGGAGCGGCGAUGCCGGCACCGAGGACGGGCAGCCCGGCACCGAAACGCAGCGCGGCACAGAGACGGCAGGCAAAGCCAAGCCUCCAACCGGAGCCCCCGCCGGCACAACGGGCACCGUGAGCCCCUCCAGCAGCCAACAGCCGCAGCCCCUGGCCCCGCUGGCCGUGCAAGCAGCCCCGCAGUAUUGCAGGUCAAGUGGCAGGUCAGCAGGGGCUGGCUGUGUGGACAUUUCCUACAGCAACGGUCGCUGCCCUUCCCGGACUGACGGCUGCUUCUCCUACAGGGGGAAUUUUCAAACCGCCUAUAGCCAAUCUGCAAGGUAACCGGUGCUCUUCUGCUUUGCAGCAUCCUUAAUUGCACGCUGCUCCUCCCCGGCUUGCGCCGAACCGCGGCCGUCCUCUCCCGGAGGGGUCUGCACCGGUGGUUAAUGGCGGGCGUUGGAAGAAGCAGGGUUUGUCGGGACCCCCCCGCGUCCGAAAGGUGCUGGGAGAGCGGGAGAGGGGCGGGCAGGACGGAGGAUGGCGGUGGGGUCUUCUGCUUUGCAGCAUCCUUAAUUGCACGCUGCUCCUCCCCGGCUUGCGCCGAACCGCGGCCGUCCUCUCCCGGAGGGGUCUGCACCGGUGGUUAAUGGCGGGCGUUGGAAGAAGCAGGGUUUGUCGGGACCCCCCCGCGUCCGAAAGGUGCUGGGAGAGCGGGAGAGGGGCGGGCAGGACGGAGGAUGGCGGUGGGGUGAGACGAGGACCGGCGCGGGGUUCGGGGCCGGGGGCAGCCGUGGGG
This 1178-nucleotide long non-coding RNA is filed under the name Chrysolophus pictus (golden pheasant). RNAcentral describes it as "lncRNA (ENSCPIG00010012195.1)". Lineage: Eukaryota; Metazoa; Chordata; Aves; Galliformes; Phasianidae. The record is from RNAcentral.